CACCGUCGACUGGAUAUAAAUUUACCUGAAGAUAAAUUCUUGUCGUCGUCUUUCAAAUGGGGAGUCUUGUGAAAUUUAUAUUCGUCGCAGCUGCGUUCUUCCUCCUGUUAUUGCACCCGUCUAUCUGCUCUCCGUACUCAGAGCUUGGAGAAACGUGUCCCCCUUUCGAUCAACAUCAGGACUCAUCCGAGGCGCGAUGCGAACCAGGCACUGCCUGCAAGAAAUUGGGUCGAAGCUACAUGUGCGUGGUGGAAGGUGAUUUGAACGAGUAACGAGGGUCGACACUGUGCGUCGUUAUUAAGAUUUAGAUAAUAUAUAUGCGUUAUCACCGUAAGGUCAAGAGGCAGUUACGAAAUUUUCGACACCGUGGAAGGCGAUAAGUUUGAAAUCGAAAGGAAGAAUUUGGACUCUACUUCUGUUGGUUUUCAUCCAGCUACGCUGUUAUUUAUUAUGUAUUUAUUGUUUGAGAUUCUGAUUCAUUUAAUCACCUCAUUAAUUUAUAGCGCUCACCAUUUUAGUCGUAAGUUCAUUUAUUUCAAGAGUGGAUUCAUAAUAUACAAAUAAAGCACACC
This 572-nucleotide long non-coding RNA is filed under the name Neodiprion lecontei (redheaded pine sawfly). RNAcentral's name for it is "uncharacterized LOC124293341". Lineage: Eukaryota; Metazoa; Arthropoda; Insecta; Hymenoptera; Diprionidae. The record is from RNAcentral.